Taeniopygia guttata (zebra finch) is the source of this 411-nucleotide non-coding RNA. NCBI's taxonomy places the organism in Eukaryota, Metazoa, Chordata, Aves, Passeriformes, Estrildidae. The record is from RefSeq and is a predicted model, not a curated record.
GGGAUCAGGGGCAGCCCCAGCACCCCACAGCCAUGGGGCACUCCCGGGUUGGCCCAGGGCUCUUGUGCCAGCAGCAAGUGGGGCCUGUCCCACCCACCAGCACUGCUAUAAACCCAGCGAGUUUGGGGCACAGCAGCAUUCCCUGGCCCCAGAGGCAUCUGGACACAGCCAUUGCUGUUGGGUUUGCUGCUGUCUGAACACCAAAGCCUUUGUCAGGGAGCUCUGUGAAGAUCCGGGAGAGGCAGCAGCCAUGAAGAUCCUGUUCCUUCUCUUCCCCCUGCUCCUCCUGCUGGUCCAGGGUGCUGCAGGCAGUGCAGUUACAUGCUGGCGAAAACAGGGAUUUUGCGCGUGGCGUUCUUGCCCUCGUGGUGCACGUGUUGUGGGAAUAUGUUCACCGCGCAUGUUGUGCUG